Molecule: long non-coding RNA, 2160 nt
Filed under: Homo sapiens (human)
Lineage: Eukaryota; Metazoa; Chordata; Mammalia; Primates; Hominidae
Description: non-protein coding lnc-LPCAT1-4:16
Source: RNAcentral
CGCUUCAGCCCAGCGGCGGGCCUUGGCCCUUGGCUGCCUACUCCUACCGCCCCAGCCCCGGGCGGCCCUGGGCCUGCUGCGGGCGCGGCGCUGCCCGACCAGAGCUUCCUGUGGAACGUCUUCCAGAGGGUCGAUAAAGACAGGAGUGGAGUGAUAUCAGACACCGAGCUUCAGCAAGCUCUCUCCAACGGAUGAAGCUCCACCCGCCCUUCAGGAUGCAAAGCCCUCCUCUAUAAAGUGCAUGCGGGGCCAGAUGCAGUGGCUCACAUCUGACCUCCCAACACUUUGGGAGGCCGAGGCAGGGGGAUCGCUUGAGCCCAGGAGUUUGAGACCAGCCUGGACAACAUUGUGAGACCCUGUUCCUUGAAUUGCCCUGGGAGAUUUCCUCAGCUUGUACUGGAGGCGUGUGGCCCCAUGAAGCCCGUAGUCACCGUUCACCCUGAGAGACGCUGGCUUUGGGGCUCACACGCCUGCUGUGGGGCAGCCCCAGGAGAUGGCCACCCUGUUUCUCCUGGAGCUGGAGCUGCGUGUGUUCUCAGAAACUGUGGUGGCUGUUCUCUUUUGUUUGCAUCGAUGAAGCCCCACCCGCCCUUCAGGAUGCCAGCCUUGGCAACAUCGUGAGACCCUGUUUCUACAAAAACUAAACAAGUGUAGUGGUGCACGCCUGUAUUCCCAGCUACUUGGGAGGCUGAGAUGGGAAGAUCACUUGAGAGAUCAAGCCACGGCACUCCAGCCUGGGAGACAGAGCGAAACCCCAUCUCAAAAAAACAAAGAAAGUGGAUGCGUGCUGCUCCUGCCAUUGGAUCAUCGCAGCAUUUUUCUUUUCUCUGAUAUGCGCCUUUUUCCUCAUCGUGGGGGCUCAUGUUUUCGUAAUUCCCUCUCGCUACUAGAUUGUGAGCUGUGUGAAGGAAGGUUCAUAGUUGAGUUGUAUGUACAGGCACACAAAAUUUGUCCUUGGAUAGACACAUAUCAAUCCACUUCCUUCUCCUCUCUGAAUUUCUUUAUUUAAAAAAAAAAGUAGAGAUGGAGUCUCACUGUCUUGCCCAGGCUGGUGUCAAACUCCUAGGCUCAAGUGAUCCUCCCACCUCUACUAAUAUGAAUUAUUAGGCUAUGCUAAUAUGAAUUUGUAUACUAAUAUGAUUGAAAUUAGUUUGACUUCUAUAAUAAUUGUUCUCCCAGAUUGGGCUUCUGUUUUGAUAGUAGAACUAAAUUAUUAGGCUAUUUCAACAAAAUGGCCUGGUUUCUCACUUCAGUUAAAUUUGUGCUUCUGAGUGCUUGUAUUCUAGGUGAAACCGCACUGAGAAGGUAUUUGUGGCCUAUACGCUGAUUCAUUGAUUAGACUUCUUUGCACAGGAGAGCUGCUAAAAAUUACUGCGGUGAACAGAUGGAGGCCCAUUGAGGCUUCUCUGUCCUCCACGGGGAACAGCAUUGGCCUAAACCUGCAGACACCAUUGCAAAGGGAAUUCAGGCAAACCGGCUGGUGAAGAAUGAUUCCAGCGUGGGGACAGAGGCUGACAUUUCUUGCGCACGUGGACUCCCUUUAAUCCAGUGACUGUCAGGUCGAUCAUAUAGGUCAGGGGAGGAAACAGGAGGUACAGGAACGCUAGAGGGGAGAAAGCACGGAGAGAUGGGAAAAGCACGGAGAGAGAGACGGGGAAAGGGCAAUCAGGAAGACCGAGAGAAAAGGGGGAAAGCAGAAUGACAGAGGAGGUGUGAAGAGAGAGAAGCCCUCUGGAGUGCUGAAAUACUGAAUAUUCUCCCCUGGGAGCUACUCAGGACUACACUGAAGGCUGGUUACGCUCUUAUGUGCAAUAGAACCUCAAACACAUCGUAACACACCUUUGGAGAAUCCUUACAAGAACACCAAGUUAACAGUUAUCUCUGACCACACUACCUCAGCAAAAAACCAGGAAGAAAAAAUAUUCUUCAACCCUUUUCAGGGACAGAAAGCAUCAUUUCAAAAGUCCAAGAAGGGAAGAACACAAAACUCACUCCUCUGCAUCAGUGAAUUGAUUGUGUGGUGGGGAUGUAAGUCUGCAUGUGACUGACAGUUCCCCAAAGUGGUGCCAAGUCAAUCUAAACUAGAGAGAAUUUCUGGCCAGGCCAAGCAGAGAUUUCAUGGAUGAAGUCUCCCAAAGACUGAUUUCCUAAACAUUAAAC